UUAAAAAAGAUGUGUGUGUGUAAGAAGUGCAAAUAAAGUAAAAAAAGUAAAAUAAACGUGUGUGUGAAGUGAAAAUAUGUGAAAUGUAUGUUAAAAUAUGUGGUAAGAAAAAAAAAUUUGAAAAAUAGAAAUAAAAAAUAAGCGGUUGUGUGCAAAUAAGAAACAAGGAAAAAUUUAAUUUUUCUAUGUGUGUUGUGUAAAAAAAGUAUUAAAAAAGUGGUUUUGUGUGGCAAUAAAAAAACGUAAAUAUUCAAAAACAAAACUAGAAACAAUAUUAAUAAAUGAACGUAAAAUAAUUAAUUGUUGUGUAAUGGAAAAUACGCAUCGCCUGAUAUUAGCGGAUAGCAAAUCAAAUAUUAACGACUUCAACACUUCAAACUCCUGAAUUUUACGACUAAUGACAAACUGUGAAAAAGCAACGCUAGCAGAAAAAUUCACAUGUUUGCUCAUAGUGAAAAAGUGAACUGUUUGCCGGCAUAAAUGUAGGAGCGUCGAGGCAAACCACUUGAGCAACAAUUGAAAUACGAUGAGUGCUUGCUUACAUUUACAUUUACGUCAUACAUAUAUACAUAUGGGAAUAUACAGCGGAAGGUGCGACCUCGGAGGGGGAAAAGAUAAAUGCGAUCAAAUAGAAGAAAAUAUAAUAAAGCAAAUAUAACCAUUGAGAUGUAAAUAUAAAAA
This is a long non-coding RNA of Bactrocera neohumeralis, 681 nucleotides long. RefSeq lists it as uncharacterized. Lineage: Eukaryota; Metazoa; Arthropoda; Insecta; Diptera; Tephritidae. The transcript has 4 exons. The record is from RefSeq and is a predicted model, not a curated record.